AGCUACACCCGGCCCAAUUGUAUUCCUUAUGGAUGGCUUGAAUCUUGGCCCGUUUACCCCUUUAAUGGCCCAACUUAAAGUCUAACCCUAGAGUAUAUAUAUGAAUAUAACCCUAGCCUCUUUGUGAUGAUGAUUGUGUGAUUUUGAGAGAAGAAACUAGUGAAUCCCGGCUGCCCCCCUUUUGUGUGAGAAAAAGGUGUCCAGAAGUGUCCAGAACGCUUGUAUAACGUGUGCAAUUGGUAGUUCUUUCAUAGUAUACCUUUGUGGUGUCUUCUCCUAGCCUUUGUGGCCAUAAAUCAUCAUCC
Molecule: long non-coding RNA, 305 nt
Filed under: Olea europaea (common olive)
Lineage: Eukaryota; Viridiplantae; Streptophyta; Magnoliopsida; Lamiales; Oleaceae
Description: long non-coding RNA (OEUR_LNC002160)
Source: RNAcentral